Non-coding RNA from Trichonephila clavata, 75 nucleotides. The record is from the annotation of a GenBank genome assembly. Lineage: Eukaryota; Metazoa; Arthropoda; Arachnida; Araneae; Nephilidae.
AUCCAUGUAGCACAAUGGCCAAAUUGUGUUGGACUUCUAAUCCAAAGGCCUUGGGUUCGAAUACCACCUUGGAUG